RNAcentral lists this long non-coding RNA (332 nucleotides) under Homo sapiens (human). Its description in RNAcentral is "non-protein coding lnc-SUMO1-9:1". Lineage: Eukaryota; Metazoa; Chordata; Mammalia; Primates; Hominidae. The record is from RNAcentral.
AAGCUGCUCCUAAGAGAGUGUCCUCUACAGGAUAGGUGAAGAAACCUCAGAAUUACAGACCUAUUUGCGAGGCACUCUGUAAUAAGUCCUAAUCAGAAGUCCCCUGAACUUCUGAUUGGCAAAUUUUCUUCCAGUGUCUGAGGUGAGAAAUUGUUUGGGACUUCAAAAUAGAUUGGCACAUCUAGAGUACAGCUAUUGGUGUUUUGAAAAUAGCUAUCUCUUUGGUUCAGUAGGCCUAUCUGGUUGGCCUUUUUGAAGACAUUAACCUGUAUGUUAUCCAUGCCAAACGUGUAACAAUCAUGCCAAAAGAUAUCCAACUAGCACAAUGCAUU